This 468-nucleotide ribosomal RNA is filed under the name uncultured bacterium. RNAcentral's name for it is "partial 16S ribosomal RNA". It matches the Rfam family "Bacterial small subunit ribosomal RNA", at positions 27 to 507 of the family's 1533-position model. The record is from RNAcentral.
GGACGAACGCUGGCGGCGUGCUUAACACAUGCAAGUCGAACGGAAAGGCCCUGCUUUUGUGGGGUGCUCGAGUGGCGAACGGGUGAGUAACACGUGAGUAACCUGCCCUUGACUUUGGGAUAACUUCAGGAAACUGGGGCUAUACCGGAUAGGAGCUCCUGCUGCAUGGUGGGGGUUGGAAAGUUUCGGCGGUUGGGGAUGGACUCGCGGCUUAUCAGCUUGUUGGUGGGGUAGUGGCUUACCAAGGCUUUGACGGGUAGCCGGCCUGAGAGGGUGACCGGCCACAUUGGGACUGAGAUACGGCCCAGACUCCUACGGGAGGCAGCAGUGGGGAAUAUUGCACAAUGGGCGGAAGCCUGAUGCAGCAACGCCGCGUGCGGGAUGACGGCCUUCGGGUUGUAAACCGCUUUCGCCUGUGACGAAGCGUGAGUGACGGUAAUGGGUAAAGAAGCACCGGCUAACUACGUG